UUUUAAAACUGCAUAUUCCUCUAAGACAAAAAGCACGAGCUAAGCAGUCCUCUCUGUAACAAAAACGCUGUAGCAAACCUACAGCUGAGAACAGUGAAGCUUUUUGCUUCCCAGAUCCAAGAUAACCUUGUCCUGGUACAUUGACUUGCAACAUACUUCCGGGAGCAGAGCCAGAGAACGAAAAGCAACAUUUCUAUGUAAGAAUCUGUGAGGGGUUUGAAAAAAGGAUAAAAGCUGCUUGUAAAAUGUUUUCGGCGCAGCCUGUCUUUUGUAAACUGAAUCACACAGGUGCCUCUGCCCCCGCCCCCAUGGCAGAAUAAAACGCUCUUUCUCUGGAUUAACCCCUUGGUGUCGUUUGGUUCCUUUUGUCUCUGCUCGGGUGCAACAAUUAUUCCUACCAAUGAAUUAAAAAGGCUUCAUAUUUCUGGCGCAUCGGGCCGGGAAAAAGCACGUUCCCCGAGAUUGAGGGACAAAAAGGUCCAGGGCGUCACUGCAAGGCGAGCAGCUCAGGAUCCCGGGUCAACAGUUCCAGCGCGCAUCCUGCCAACUUCGUGGGAGGGACUGGGCACCCGUUCCUGAGUGGACACGCGACAAGUGACGGAGAGAAAGAGCAACGGCCGUGCAGAAAGAAGGUACCUCGAGGAACAAGGUAGGCUUGGGAGCAAAGAGAGUUUGAUCAGCUCCACCAGUAGGGCAGUAAAAGGUGCCACUGGUUUUGGUUUUGCCCAGAAAAGCAGCAAAAAGGGUGCUGCUGGGCACCGGUCAAAGUCUAAGCGCUGCCGGUUGUGGUUUUGGUGUUGGUAAAAAGGGGAUUGGGGGAGGUGCAUGGGUUUCUGAAUGUGCGUGUGGGGACACUCCAGCGAAUGUUUUGAGUGUGCGAUACGUUGAAAGCAACGUCUGGCCUGUGACUGAGUGGAAAAAAAUAACGUUAGGAGGGCUGAGUGUCCCAGUGUCCCCAGGAUCCCAGAGUCAUGGGAAAUAAAAGCAGUAAAACAAUUCUUGAGACACCACUACAGAGCUUUCUGGAAAACUGGAAAAGUGCCACGAAAGCAGAAGAAAAAAAGGCAGACUCCAACAUUUAUGUGAAGUUGACUGGCCUUCGUAUUUACCAGAAUGGGCUCCUGGAGGAUCCUUUGAUCCAAACUUGGUCAACAUUUUAUGGAGUAACAUUUUCAAGGCCCACACAGAUCAGAUUCCCUAUAUUUCUAUCUGGAAAGCCAAUGUGGAUCAAAAUCCCUCAUGGCUUCGGAAAAAUAGAAUUGUGACUGCCCAAGUCAAACUGUGUUCAGUACAAUUACAAGUUAAGAAGCCACCAGUUUUGCCAGUCCUGGAAGAGGAGAUAAUUACCCCCCCACCACCAUAUGCAGCAACUGCGCCAAGGCAACCAAAUCUGGGAGCAAAUAGGGCUGCUUCUCCGCCCAAAGCCCAGACUGAGGACCCAAAUGAGAAGAUUCCCCCCUCUGCCCCUCCCCAACCCCCAUGUGAUGCAAGCAAGGAAGGUGAAGAGAAAGGUGGUGAUGAUGAUGAAGAUUUCAGAAAAACUCUAGAUAAAGAGAUAAGAUGGACUAGUAAGCAGUUUGACAGAGUGUUCCAGUAUGUAGAACUGUUUAAAACAGAGCUGGAUGUGGCUUCUUGGUUCUAGAAGCAGCCCAGUGCCAGGAUGAGAAUUGGAGAAAAAAGCAAAAGGUUUUGAGAACAGCGUGGGACAGGGCAACAAAACCUGUAGAGACACUUAAAUCUAAGGCUUUGUCCAAACCCACUGUGGUGGCCCCUCUCCGGCAAGUGCAUGAUCCUUUGGAACAGCCAAAUGGUCAGGGCGUUAGACCCCCAAGGACCUUUACCAUUCAACAUGUCCCUUUUACAAGCUCCG
This 1870-nucleotide long non-coding RNA is filed under the name Podarcis lilfordi (Lilford's wall lizard). The record is from RNAcentral. Lineage: Eukaryota; Metazoa; Chordata; Lepidosauria; Squamata; Lacertidae.